UACGAAGGGGGCUAGCGUUGCUCGGAAUCACUGGGCGUAAAGCGCACGUAGGCGGAUUGUUAAGUCAGGGGUGAAAUCCUGGAGCUCAACUCCAGAACUGCCUUUGAUACUGGCGAUCUUGAGUCCGGGAGAGGUGAGUGGAACUGCGAGUGUAGAGGUGAAAUUCGUAGAUAUUAGGAAGAACACCGGUGGCGAAGGCGGCCCACUGGAUCGGUACUGACGCUGAGGUGCGAAAGCGUGGGGAGCAAACAGG
RNAcentral lists this ribosomal RNA (253 nucleotides) under uncultured bacterium. RNAcentral's name for it is "partial 16S ribosomal RNA". It matches the Rfam family "Bacterial small subunit ribosomal RNA", at positions 524 to 776 of the family's 1533-position model. The record is from RNAcentral.